Long non-coding RNA from Gadus chalcogrammus (walleye pollock), 164 nucleotides. RefSeq lists it as uncharacterized. The record is from RefSeq and is a predicted model, not a curated record. The transcript has 3 exons. Lineage: Eukaryota; Metazoa; Chordata; Actinopteri; Gadiformes; Gadidae.
GUGUAAUCAUUCAUGUCCGGACUCAUCGAAACGAUGGAGAUUCUAUUUUUAUUGCUGGGAUUUCUCUUCUUUGUUAAAGGUUGUGCUGGCCUUACUCUUUAUGGAGAGGUCGGAGGGACGGCCGUAUUUCAAUGCCACUCAACUAUGGAGAACAUCAAUUUUAU